GAUGAAGAACGUAGCGAAAUGCGAUAGCUAGUGUGAAUUGCAGAUUUCCGUGAAUCAUCGAAUCUUUGAACGCACAUUGCGCCCUCUGGUAUUCCGGGGGGCAUGCCUGUCCGAGCGUCAUUUGCAACCCUCAAGCCCGGCUUGUGUGAUGGGUGCCGUCCCCUACGGGACGCGCCCCGAAGGCAAUGGCGGCGUCGCGGUUAUCCGAUCAGCCAAAGUGUAUGGGGCUUUGUCACUCACUUUACGGCCCGGACCGGCGCCAGUCCGAAUCAAUCUUUUUUCUAAAGUUGACCUCGGAUCAGGUAGGGAUACCCGCUGAACUUAAGCAUAUCAAUAAGCGGAGGA
Molecule: unclassified non-coding RNA, 345 nt
Filed under: soil metagenome
Description: partial contains 5.8S ribosomal RNA, internal transcribed spacer 2, and large subunit ribosomal RNA
Rfam family: 5.8S ribosomal RNA (bases 1-120)
Source: RNAcentral